CGAGUGGCGGACGGGUGAGUAAUGUCUAGGGAAACCGCCUGGUGGAGGGGGAUAACUACUGGAAACGGUAGCUAAUACCGCAUAACGUCGCAAGACCAAAGAGGGGGACCUUCGGGCCUCUUGCCAUCGGAUGUGCCCAGAUGGGAUUAGCUAGUAGGUGGGGUAACGGCUCACCUAGGCGACGAUCCCUAGCUGGUCUGAGAGGAUGACCAGCCACACUGGAACUGAGACACGGUCCAG
This 240-nucleotide ribosomal RNA is filed under the name uncultured bacterium. RNAcentral describes it as "partial 16S ribosomal RNA". It matches the Rfam family "Bacterial small subunit ribosomal RNA", at positions 92 to 334 of the family's 1533-position model. The record is from RNAcentral.